RNAcentral lists this long non-coding RNA (455 nucleotides) under Mus musculus (house mouse). RNAcentral describes it as "long non-coding RNA chrX:162679006-162679461". The record is from RNAcentral. Lineage: Eukaryota; Metazoa; Chordata; Mammalia; Rodentia; Muridae.
GGUCUUUGCACUGCCAGAUGCUUCACAGUCACAAACAGGACCAGCAGUGGGAUGAUAAGCAGUGGGACCAGCAGUGGGAUGAUAAGCAGUGGGACCAGCAGUGGGAUGAUAAGCAAUAACAAAAAAAGCCCUUUGGGGCACAGCCCUGAGGACCCAUCCCCAUGCAAAGAGAACUGUGCUGGAAAAAAGGAAGGGUUGAAGCCAGACAGGCAAAUUCUGAUAUCAGGAAGUGUGUCAGGGUGCAGCUCGUGGAGAACACCAUAGAUCACAGCGUUUAUGCUCAGUGAUGACUGUUUGAACUUCAAUGAGGAAAAUGAUGCUGGAAUUGGUCUAAAGGUCAUGUUGUAGGUCAUAUCCCUGGAGUCUGCUUUAAGGCUGUUAAAGUAGCCAAUGUGACUCUUUUAGUUAGUCAUGUACAAAGGCAAGAAGAAAAAGACUGUGAUCAUAAAUUUUGA